RNAcentral lists this ribosomal RNA (491 nucleotides) under uncultured bacterium. RNAcentral's name for it is "partial 16S ribosomal RNA". It matches the Rfam family "Bacterial small subunit ribosomal RNA", at positions 29 to 507 of the family's 1533-position model. The record is from RNAcentral.
ACGAACGCUGGCGGCGUGCUUAACACAUGCAAGUGGAGCGACGAACCAGGGCUUGCCCUGGGGCAGAGCCGCGAACGGGUGAGUAACACGUGGGUAACGUGCCCCGAUGACUGGGACAACCCGGGGAAACCCGGGCUAAUACCGGAUGUGCCCCCUCACAUCAGUGAGGUGUGUAAAGGAAGCUUCGGCCUCCGCAUCGGGAUCGGCCCGCGGCCCAUUAGCUUGUUGGUGAGGUAACGGCUCACCAAGGCUGCGAUGGGUAGCUGGUCUGAGAGGACGAUCAGCCACACUGGGACUGAGACACGGCCCAGACUCCUACGGGAGGCAGCAGUGGGGAAUCUUGCGCAAUGCGCGAAAGCGUGACGCAGCAACGCCGCGUGGGGGAAGACGGCCUUCGGGUUGUAAACCCCUUUCAGUUGGGACGAAGGUCGGGCGGUUAACAGCCGUUCCGGCUGACGGUACCUGCACAAGAAGCCCCGGCUAACUACGUG